This 445-nucleotide ribosomal RNA is filed under the name uncultured bacterium. RNAcentral describes it as "partial 16S ribosomal RNA". It matches the Rfam family "Bacterial small subunit ribosomal RNA", at positions 354 to 796 of the family's 1533-position model. The record is from RNAcentral.
GUGAGGAAUAUUGCGCAAUGGAGGCAACUCUGACGCAGCCAUGCCGCGUGCAGGAAGAAGGCGCUACGCGUUGUAAACUGCUUUUAACCGGGAAGAAACCCCAGGACGUGUCCUGGGUUGACGGUACCGGAGGAAUAAGCACCGGCUAACUUCGUGCCAGCAGCCGCGGUAAUACGAAGGGUGCAAGCGUUAUCCGGAUUCAUUGGGUUUAAAGGGUGCGUAGGCGGAGCGUUAAGUCAGUGGUGAAAUCCUGCAGCUUAACUGUAGACUUGCCAUUGAUACUGGCGCUCUUGAGUGCGCUUGAAGUGGGCGGAAUGUGCCGUGUAGCGGUGAAAUGCUUAGAUAUGGCACAGAACACCAAUUGCGAAGGCAGCUCACUAAGGCGAUACUGACGCUGAGGCACGAAAGCGUGGGGAGCGAACAGGAUUAGAUACCCUGGUAGUCC